Molecule: long non-coding RNA, 450 nt
Filed under: Daphnia pulicaria
Lineage: Eukaryota; Metazoa; Arthropoda; Branchiopoda; Diplostraca; Daphniidae
Description: uncharacterized LOC124343865, transcript variant X1
Source: RNAcentral
AUCAGUUCGCAAUCAUGGUUAAUUAUGGCGUUGUGUUGCUGUUGGGUGUUGUAUCGUUGAUGUCGACCACGAGAGAAAAUCUUUUAAAAGGAAAGAAAAAGGGCAACGGAAGUCAAUCGAGUGAUCAUCUCCGACCCGGCAACACCUGCAUUCUUCGUCGUAUUAUCAGGUCACAAUCGCGGUCUGGUUAACUAUGCUGUCGUGCUGCUAUUGGUUGUUGUAUCGUCGAUGGCUGGGUCGACCACUGUUGUACCAAUGUCUCCUGGAUAAGGCGGAUACCAAACCGCAACGCCGCCGCCAAACUACACAACAACAUACGCAACGGCCAGUUACUACACCGAGGUUGCACUGUUGGGUUUACAGUUAAACCACCAAGGAUCCAGAUUAUUACACCACAACUUGUGCUGCUCCCCAAGCUACACCACCAAAGCGCUAGAGUACUACACCGAG